AGAGAUCCUGAUAAGAACGGACUGCCAAACCAUAAUCAGCUUUUUCAACAAAUCGGCUCAAAAUAAACCAUCAAGAGUCCGAUGGAUGACAUUCAUUGAUUAUAUCACCGGAAGUGGGGUUGAAGUCCAAUUCGAACACAUCGAAGGGACAAGUAACAUCCUCGCCGACUCCUUAUCUAGAUUAAUCAACAUUCUUUUAAAUGCAGGAUGGAGGGAAGAACAAAAGGACCAACUAUCACUAUUGGCGGAAGCAACCCAAGAACUUAAGGCCAAGCCCAACCCAAAGGCGGAAGCCUUUCUGAAUCAAAUAGCCUGCAAAAUAAUAACCUCCUAUUCCAGUACACCGAUAAGCUCACCUGCCUUCAAAAGGGAAAGAAAAGGUUACUUAAUGAUGAAGACUCCACAAAGAGGACACUCGGAAUCCUACAACAAAAGGCAGCAGAACAAGCAAUCAAUGCCUUGCAGCAAUACAGAGACAUCCACUCACUAUCACUAUUGGCGGAAGCAACCCAAGAACUCAAGGCCAAGCCCAACCCAAAGGCGGAAGCCUUUCUGAAUCAAAUAGCUUGCAAAAUAAUAACCUCCUAUUCCAGUACACCGAUAAGCUCACCUGCCUUCAAAAGGGAAAGAAAAGGUUACUUAAUGACGAAGGCUCCACAAAGAGGACAUUCGGAAUCCUACAACAGAAG
RNAcentral lists this long non-coding RNA (689 nucleotides) under Musa acuminata (dwarf banana). Its description in RNAcentral is "long non-coding RNA (MACU_LNC006638)". The record is from RNAcentral. Lineage: Eukaryota; Viridiplantae; Streptophyta; Magnoliopsida; Zingiberales; Musaceae.